This 237-nucleotide ribosomal RNA is filed under the name uncultured bacterium. Its description in RNAcentral is "partial 16S ribosomal RNA". It matches the Rfam family "Bacterial small subunit ribosomal RNA", at positions 114 to 353 of the family's 1533-position model. The record is from RNAcentral.
UGUCUGGGAAACUGCCUGAUGAGGGGGAUAACUACUGGAAACGGUAGCUAAUACCGCAUAACGUCGCAAGACCAAANAGGGGGACCUUCGGGCCUCUUGCCAUCGGAUGUGCCCAGAUGGGAUUAGCUAGUAGGUGGGGUAACGGCUCACCUAGGCGACGAUCCCUAGCUGGUCUGAGAGGAUGACCAGCCACACUGGAACUGAGACACGGUCCAGACUCCUACGGGAGGCAGCAUG